RNAcentral lists this ribosomal RNA (423 nucleotides) under uncultured bacterium. RNAcentral describes it as "bacterial SSU rRNA". It matches the Rfam family "Bacterial small subunit ribosomal RNA", at positions 207 to 622 of the family's 1533-position model. The record is from RNAcentral.
AAGACCUUGCGCUUUUGGAGCGGCCGAUGCCUGAUUAGCUUGUUGGUAAGGUAAAAGCUUACCAAGGCUUCGAUCAGUAGCUGGUCUGAGAGGACGACCAGCCACACUGGGACUGAGACACGGCCCAGACUCCUACGGGAGGCAGCAGUGGGGAAUUUUGGACAAUGGGGGCAACCCUGAUCCAGCCAUGCCGCGUGAGUGAAGAAGGCCUUCGGGUUGUAAAGCUCUUUCAGCCGGAACGAAACGGUUACGGAUAACACCCGUGACUACUGACGGUACCGGAAGAAGAAGCACCGGCUAACUACGUGCCAGCAGCCGCGGUAAUACGUAGGGUGCGAGCGUUAAUCGGAAUUACUGGGCGUAAAGCGUGUGCAGGUGGUUUUGUAAGUCAGAUGUGAAAGCCCCGGGCUCAACCUGGGAACU